This 749-nucleotide ribosomal RNA is filed under the name Capnocytophaga ochracea. RNAcentral describes it as "bacterial SSU rRNA". It matches the Rfam family "Bacterial small subunit ribosomal RNA", at positions 28 to 776 of the family's 1533-position model. Lineage: Bacteria; Pseudomonadati; Bacteroidota; Flavobacteriia; Flavobacteriales; Flavobacteriaceae. The record is from RNAcentral.
GAUGAACGCUAGCGGCAGGCCUAACACAUGCAAGUCGAGGGGGAAGUUACUUUCGGGUAACAGAGACCGGCGUACGGGUGCGUAACGCGUAUACAAUCUGCCUCUCACUGGGGGAUAGCCCGAAGAAAUUUGGAUUAAUACCCCAUAGUAUAGUAAUACGGCAUCGUGAUACUAUUAAAGCUUAGGUGGUGAAAGAUGAGUAUGCGUUCUAUUAGUUAGUUGGAGAGGUAACGGCUCCCCAAGGCGAUGAUAGAUAGGGGUUCUGAGAGGGAUGUCCCCCACACUGGUACUGAGAUACGGACCAGACUCCUACGGGAGGCAGCAGUGAGGAAUAUUGGACAAUGGUCGGAAGACUGAUCCAGCCAUGCCGCGUGCAGGAUGAAGGUCUUAUGGAUUGUAAACUGCUUUUGUAAGGGAAGAAUAAGGGCUACGUGUAGUUUGAUGACGGUACCUUACGAAUAAGCAUCGGCUAACUCCGUGCCAGCAGCCGCGGUAAUACGGAGGAUGCGAGCGUUAUCCGGAAUCAUUGGGUUUAAAGGGUCUGUAGGCGGGCUGGUAAGUCAGAGGUGAAAGCGCUCAGCUCAACUGAGCAACUGCCUUUGAAACUGUUGGUCUUGAAUGGUUGUGAAGUAGUUGGAAUGUGUAGUGUAGCGGUGAAAUGCUUAGAUAUUACACAGAACACCGAUAGCGAAGGCAUAUUACUAACAAUUGAUUGACGCUGAUGGACGAAAGCGUGGGGAGCGAACAGG